Molecule: transfer RNA, 75 nt
Filed under: Pseudomonadota bacterium
Lineage: Bacteria; Pseudomonadati; Pseudomonadota
Also listed under: 2 other names
Description: tRNA-Pro
Rfam family: tRNA
About the family: Transfer RNA (tRNA) molecules are approximately 80 nucleotides in length. Their secondary structure includes four short double-helical elements and three loops (D, anti-codon, and T loops).
Source: RNAcentral
CGGGAUGUAGCGCAGUCCGGUUAGCGCGCUUCGUUCGGGACGAAGAGGCCGGGAGUUCAAAUCUCCCCAUCCCGA